GAUGAACGCUGGCGGCGUGCCUAAUACAUGCAAGUCGAGCGAACAGAUGAGAAGCUUGCUUCUCUGAUGUUAGCGGCGGACGGGUGAGUAACACGUGGGUAACCUACCUAUAAGACUGGGAUAACUCCGGGAAACCGGGGCUAAUACCGGAUAAUAUUUUGAACCGCAUGGUUCGAUAGUGAAAGACGGUUUCGGCUGUCACUUAUAGAUGGACCCGCGCCGUAUUAGCUAGUUGGUAAGGUAACGGCUUACCAAGGCGACGAUACGUAGCCGACCUGAGAGGGUGAUCGGCCACACUGGAACUGAGACACGGUCCAGACUCCUACGGGAGGCAGCAGUAGGGAAUCUUCCGCAGUGGGCGAAAGCCUGACGGAGCAACGCCGCGUGAGUGAUGAAGGUCUUCGGAUCGUAAAACAUCUGUUGUUAGGGAAGAACAAAUUUGUUAGUAACUGAACAAGUCUGACGGUA
RNAcentral lists this ribosomal RNA (468 nucleotides) under uncultured bacterium. RNAcentral's name for it is "bacterial SSU rRNA". It matches the Rfam family "Bacterial small subunit ribosomal RNA", at positions 28 to 477 of the family's 1533-position model. The record is from RNAcentral.